UACGUAGGGUGCAAGCGUUGUCCGGAAUUAUUGGGCGUAAAAGAGCUCGUAGGCGGUUCGUCGCGUCGGCUGUGAAAUCCCGAGGCUCAACCUCGGGUCUGCAGUCGAUACGGGGCGGACUGGAGUCCGGUAGGGGAGCAUGGAAUUCCUGGUGUAGCGGUGAAGUGCGCAGAUAUCAGGAGGAACACCAGCGGCGAAGGCGGUGCUCUGGGCCGGAACUGACACUGAGGAGCGAAAGCGUGGGUAGCAAACAGG
RNAcentral lists this ribosomal RNA (255 nucleotides) under uncultured bacterium. Its description in RNAcentral is "partial 16S ribosomal RNA". It matches the Rfam family "Bacterial small subunit ribosomal RNA", at positions 524 to 776 of the family's 1533-position model. The record is from RNAcentral.